Small nucleolar RNA from Prolemur simus (greater bamboo lemur), 104 nucleotides. The record is from Ensembl. NCBI's taxonomy places the organism in Eukaryota, Metazoa, Chordata, Mammalia, Primates, Lemuridae.
AUCCUUUUGUGGUUCAUAAGAGUGAUGACUGAGUCUUCACACUCAUGUGUGAGAUGUGCCUCCCUCAAACCUUGUUAGGACAUCGGCACAUUACCCGUCUGAUG